UACGAAGGGGGCUAGCGUUGUUCGGAAUCACUGGGCGUAAAGGGCGCGUAGGCGGCCGAUCAAGUCGGGGGUGAAAGCCUGUGGCUCAACCACAGAAUGGCCUUCGAUACUGGUUGGCUCGAGACCGGAAGAGGUGAGUGGAACUGCGAGUGUAGAGGUGAAAUUCGUAGAUAUUCGCAAGAACACCAGUGGCGAAGGCGGCUCACUGGUCCGGUUCUGACGCUGAGGCGCGAAAGCGUGGGGAGCAAACAGG
This 253-nucleotide ribosomal RNA is filed under the name uncultured bacterium. RNAcentral's name for it is "partial 16S ribosomal RNA". It matches the Rfam family "Bacterial small subunit ribosomal RNA", at positions 524 to 776 of the family's 1533-position model. The record is from RNAcentral.